Molecule: ribosomal RNA, 386 nt
Filed under: uncultured Allobrachymonas sp.
Lineage: Bacteria; Pseudomonadati; Pseudomonadota; Betaproteobacteria; Burkholderiales; Comamonadaceae
Description: bacterial SSU rRNA
Rfam family: Bacterial small subunit ribosomal RNA
Source: RNAcentral
AGGAAUCCUGAAGAGAUUGGGAGUGCUCGAAAGAGAACCUGCACACAGGUGCUGCAUGGCUGUCGUCAGCUCGUGUCGUGAGAUGUUGGGUUAAGUCCCGCAACGAGCGCAACCCUUGCCAUUAGUUGCUACGAAAGGGCACUCUAAUGGGACUGCCGGUGACAAACCGGAGGAAGGUGGGGAUGACGUCAAGUCCUCAUGGCCCUUAUAGGUGGGGCUACACACGUCAUACAAUGGCCGGUACAGAGGGUAGCCAACCCGCGAGGGGGAGCCAAUCCCACAAAGCCGGUCGUAGUCCGGAUCGCAGUCUGCAACUCGACUGCGUGAAGUCGGAAUCGCUAGUAAUCGCGGAUCAGUAUGUCGCGGUGAAUACGUUCCCGGGUCUU